Gasterosteus aculeatus aculeatus (three-spined stickleback) is the source of this 365-nucleotide long non-coding RNA. Lineage: Eukaryota; Metazoa; Chordata; Actinopteri; Perciformes; Gasterosteidae. The record is from Ensembl.
CUCCCUGUCGGUAAAGCAGAAGGCCCUCUGGUCUGCUGUGACCCCUCAUUGGUUCUGGGGGGGGGUGUAUCUGUAGUGCAUCUCCAAGGUGGAUCCGUUUAAUCCAGAAGAUCCAAGAGGAACCGUGCCGAUCUGCCUGCACCUGAGUUCCUGAAGAGAGCCGCCAAUCACCUGAGGGCCCUGCUGUUAAAAGGGAGAUCUGGAGCAGGUGUUCCUUUAGUUGUCAUGCACGCACAAGAAGUGCAGGUGGUGUCUAGAUGGUUUGAAGAAGAACCAGGACGUAGGAGUGGGCUGAACUAGAGGGACCUGACAAAACCUCCCGGUGGGCCGGUUUUUACCUGGAGUUGAACUCCCAGUGUUGCUGG